RNAcentral lists this ribosomal RNA (1263 nucleotides) under Triticum aestivum (bread wheat). RNAcentral describes it as "partial small subunit ribosomal RNA". Lineage: Eukaryota; Viridiplantae; Streptophyta; Magnoliopsida; Poales; Poaceae. The record is from RNAcentral.
AUGAGUGUUGUGGUGAUCAGCAAGUCCCCACCCGUGCUCGUCGAGCCAUGGGAGGCGACAGUCACGGGAGGGGACAUCAAUCUGUCGUCUUAUGACAAGAUGUUUGGCGGCAGAUCAGUUACAGUGCUCUUCAUCUUUGCGUGUUCAAUUCCAGAUCCCGUGGAGACCAUUAAAAGGGGAUUGUCACAAGCACUUGUCCAUUACUACCUUAUCGCCGGCCGCCUUGCCGCUGGCGACGCAGCCGGCGAAUUCGUCAUCAAAUGCACCGGCGAGGGGGUCUCCUUUGUUGCCGCCUCUGCCAACUGCGCCAUCAAUGACGUCCCAGAGUUCUGUGACUCUUCGCUGCAAGAAGAGCUCGCCAUCUUCCAUGCGGCCGAGGGUUUCAGCAACACUGAACCACUAGUGUUGAUGCAGGUGACCGUGUUCACUUGUGGCGGGUUCGUCAUGGGGGUGACGUGGAACCAUGCCGUCGGCGAUGGUACCGGGAUGGCGCAGUUUAUGCAGGCCAUCGGAGAGUUGGCCCGCGGGCUGCCGUCGCCGUCCGUCAUCCCGGUGAGGUCCAAGAAUUCGCUCGUUUUGGACUUGCCUCCAUUUUCCACAAACUUUGUUCAAUUUUUGGGCAUGCUCCAGCCGUCCCCAAUGGUGUUCCUCGACAUUACUGUCCCAUCAAGCUUGGUCAACCGCAUCAAAAGCACGUACACCAUGAAUUACCACCGGCCAUGCACUGUGUUUGAGGCAGUUGCCGCGGUCCUGUGGCAGUGCCGAACCCGUGCAAUCAUGUCCGACCCGUCGGCCCUCGCCGUGCUUACCUUCCCAGCAAAUGCGCGAAAGCACGCGGUUGCCAGGGAGGGCUUCUACGGCAACUGCGUCACCGCGCAGCUGGUGACGGCGACCAGUGGCGCCGUGGCGAACGGCGACCUCAUGGAGCUAGUGAAGAUGAUCCAGCAUGCCAAGGAUCGGGUGCCCGGCCAGUCGAAGAUCGACGAGCUGCGGCAGUUGGAUGGGUACAAUCUUUUCUUCAUGUCGUGCUGGCGAAACCUUGGCAUGGAGGCGAUUGACUUUGGUUUUGGGCCGCCGGCGAGAUUGAUGGAGUACACCAAGGAAAGGACGACGCUGCCAAGCUGCGCAACGUGCGUCCCUUGCAAUGACGAGUACAACGUGCAGUCCAUCUGUGUCAUACAGGAGCACGCCGACGCUUUCAUCCGUGAAUUAGCAAAAUCCCACCUCACUUAUAAUCCGCUUUCAGCUUCAUCCAAGCUUUGA